This 468-nucleotide ribosomal RNA is filed under the name uncultured bacterium. Its description in RNAcentral is "partial 16S ribosomal RNA". It matches the Rfam family "Bacterial small subunit ribosomal RNA", at positions 28 to 507 of the family's 1533-position model. The record is from RNAcentral.
GACGAACGCUGGCGGCGUGCUUAACACAUGCAAGUCGAACGGAAAGGCCCUGCUUUUGUGGGGUGCUCGAGUGGCGAACGGGUGAGUAACACGUGAGUAACCUGCCCUUGACUUUGGGAUAACUUCAGGAAACUGGGGCUAAUACCGGAUAGGAGCUCCUGCUGCAUGGUGGGGGUUGGAAAGUUUCGGCGGUCGGGGAUGGACUCGCGGCUUAUCAGCUUGUUGAUGGGGUAGUGGCUUACCAAGGCUUUGACGGGUAGCCGGCCUGAGAGGGUGACCGGCCACAUUGGGACUGAGAUACGGCCCAGACUCCUACGGGAGGCAGCAGUGGGGAAUAUUGCACAAUGGGCGGAAGCCUGAUGCAGCAACGCCGCGUGCGGGAUGACGGCCUUCGGGUUGUAAACCGCUUUCGCCUGUGACGAAGCGUGAGUGACGGUAAUGGGUAAAGAAGCACCGGCUAACUACGUG